CCUACGGGCUGCACCAGUAGGGAAUCUUCGGCAAUGGACGAAAGUCUGACCGAGCAACGCCGCGUGAGUGAAGAAGGUUUUCGGAUCGUAAAACUCGGUUGUUAGAGAAGAACAAGUAGGAGAGUAACUGCUCUUACCUUGACGGUAUCUAACCAGAAAGCCACGGCUAACUACGUGCCAGCAGCCGCGGUAAUACGUAGGUGGCAAGCGUUGUCCGGAUUUAUUGGGCGUAAAGCGAGCGCAGGCGGUCUUUUAAGUCUGAUGUGAAAGCCCUCGGCUCAACCGGGGAGGGUCAUUGGAAACUGGGGAACUUGAGUGCAGAAGAGGAGAGUGGAAUUCCACGUGUAGCGGUGAAAUGCGUAGAGAUGUGGAGGAACACCAGUGGCGAAGGCGACUCUCUGGUCUGUAACUGACGCUGAGGAGCGAAAGCGUGGGGAGCGAACAGGAUUAGAUACCCGUGUAGUC
This 465-nucleotide ribosomal RNA is filed under the name uncultured bacterium. Its description in RNAcentral is "bacterial SSU rRNA". It matches the Rfam family "Bacterial small subunit ribosomal RNA", at positions 338 to 795 of the family's 1533-position model. The record is from RNAcentral.